This 237-nucleotide signal recognition particle RNA is filed under the name human gut metagenome. RNAcentral's name for it is "Bacterial large signal recognition particle RNA". It matches the Rfam family "Bacterial large signal recognition particle RNA", at positions 7 to 236 of the family's 256-position model. From Rfam's summary of the family: The signal recognition particle (SRP) is a universally conserved ribonucleoprotein involved in the co-translational targeting of proteins to membranes. The record is from RNAcentral.
UGCAGCCGGGGAGAUAGCGGUGCCCUGUACCUGCAAUCCGCUCUAGCAGGGGUGAUGCUUUGCCUCGGAUAUGCUACUGUAGAGCUGCCUUUGGUAAGUGGCGAUGACGUUUGGGUCUUACGCAACAGAAAUUCAUGAACCGUGUCAGGGCAGGAAUGCAGCAGCACUAAGUGGAACCUUCUGUGUGCCGUGAGGCAGCCUGGACUGAGUUAACUGCCAGAGUAACGUUUAUGGUAG